This 250-nucleotide ribosomal RNA is filed under the name uncultured bacterium. Its description in RNAcentral is "partial 16S ribosomal RNA". It matches the Rfam family "Bacterial small subunit ribosomal RNA", at positions 524 to 773 of the family's 1533-position model. The record is from RNAcentral.
UACGGAGGGUGCGAGCGUUGUCCGGAAUCACUGGGCGUAAAGGGCGCGUAGGCGGCGCGAGCAGUCUGUGGUGAAAGCCCGUGGCUCAACUGCGGGUCGGCCAUGGAUACUCUCGAGCUGGAGCACUGUAGAGGCAGAUGGAAUUCCGGGUGUAGCGGUGGAAUGCGUAGAGAUCCGGAAGAACACCGGUGGCGAAGGCGGUCUGCUGGGCAGUGGCUGACGCUGAGGCGCGACAGCGUGGGGAGCAAAC